CACCUACAACAUAGCGUUAAUGCACCAAAUCCCACUAGAACUCUGCAGUUAAGUGUGCUCAAGCUAGAGUAGUACUAGGAUGGGUGACCUCUCGGGAAGUCCUAGUAUUUUACAUGC
Molecule: non-coding RNA, 117 nt
Organism: Picea glauca (white spruce)
Lineage: Eukaryota; Viridiplantae; Streptophyta; Pinopsida; Pinales; Pinaceae
Source: Rfam